UUCGCCCUUAGAGUUUGAUCCUGGCUCAGGACGAACGCUGGCGGCGCGCCUAACACAUGCAAGUCGAACGAGCGAGAGAGAGCUUGCUUUCUCAAGCGAGUGGCGAACGGGUGAGUAACGCGUGAGGAACCUGCCUCAAAGAGGGGGACAACAGUUGGAAACGACUGCUAAUACCGCAUAAGCCCACGGUGCCGCAUGGCACAGAGGGAAAAGGAGCAAUCCGCUUUGAGAUGGCCUCGCGUCCGAUUAGCUAGUUGGUGAGGUAAUGGCCCACCAAGGCGACGAUCGGUAGCCGGACUGAGAGGUUGAACGGCCACAUUGGGACUGAGACACGGCCCAGACUCCUACGGGAGGCAGCAGUGGGGAAUAUUGCACAAUGGGGGAAACCCUGAUGCAGCGACGCCGCGUGGAGGAAGAAGGUCUUCGGAUUGUAAACUCCUGUUGUUGAGGAAGAUAAUGACGGUACUCAACAAGGAAGUGACGGCUAACUACGUGCCAGCAGCCGCGGUAAAACGUAGGUCACAAGCGUUGUCCGGAAUUACUGGGUGUAAAGGGAGCGCAGGCGGGAAGACAAGUUGGAAGUGAAAUCUAUGGGCUCAACCCAUAAACUGCUUUCAAAACUGUUUUUCUUGAGUAGUGCAGAGGUAGGCGGAAUUCCCGGUGUAGCGGUGGAAUGCGUAGAUAUCGGGAGGAACACCAGUGGCGAAGGCGGCCUACUGGGCACCAACUGACGCUGAGGCUCGAAAGUGUGGGUAGCAAACAGGAUUAGAUACCCUGGUAGUCCACACCGUAAACGAUGAUUACUAGGUGUUGGAGGAUUGACCCCUUCAGUGCCGCAGUUAACACAAUAAGUAAUCCACCUGGGGAGUACGACCGCAAGGUUGAAACUCAAAGGAAUUGACGGGGGCCCGCACAAGCAGUGGAGUAUGUGGUUUAAUUCGACGCAACGCGAAGAACCUUACCAAGUCUUGACAUCCUCUGACGAACGUAGAAAUACGUUUUCUCUUCGGAGCAGAGAGACAGGUGGUGCAUGGUUGUCGUCAGCUCGUGUCGUGAGAUGUUGGGUUAAGUCCCGCAACGAGCGCAACCCUUAUGGUCAGUUACUACGCAAGAGGACUCUGGCCAGACUGCCGUUGACAAAACGGAGGAAGGUGGGGAUGACGUCAAAUCAUCAUGCCCUUUAUGACUUGGGCUACACACGUACUACAAUGGCGUUAAACAAAGAGAAGCAAGACCGCGAGGUGGAGCAAAACUCAGAAACAACGUCCCAGUUCGGACUGCAGGCUGCAACUCGCCUGCACGAAGUCGGAAUUGCUAGUAAUCGCAGAUCAGCAUGCUGCGGUGAAUACGUUCCCGGGCCUUGCACACACCGCCCGUCA
This 1379-nucleotide ribosomal RNA is filed under the name uncultured bacterium. RNAcentral's name for it is "16S ribosomal RNA". It matches the Rfam family "Bacterial small subunit ribosomal RNA". The record is from RNAcentral.